This 21-nucleotide non-coding RNA is filed under the name Arabidopsis thaliana (thale cress). The record is from RNAcentral. Lineage: Eukaryota; Viridiplantae; Streptophyta; Magnoliopsida; Brassicales; Brassicaceae.
UGCAAUUUUCUCGCAGUUGCC